This is a non-coding RNA of Podarcis lilfordi (Lilford's wall lizard), 97 nucleotides long. The record is from the annotation of a GenBank genome assembly. Lineage: Eukaryota; Metazoa; Chordata; Lepidosauria; Squamata; Lacertidae.
AUGCUACUACAGGGUGAGUCUUUGAAAAGAGGCCUCGUGGAACAUGUGUACUCUGUAUCCACGGGGCCUCUUUCAAAGGACUCACCCUGUAAUAACA